This 301-nucleotide unclassified non-coding RNA is filed under the name Hevea brasiliensis (rubber tree). The record is from RNAcentral. Lineage: Eukaryota; Viridiplantae; Streptophyta; Magnoliopsida; Malpighiales; Euphorbiaceae.
GUGUCAUUUUGUUUGGCUGGCUAAACCACUUUCUACUUCUCUUCAAUGCCAACUCCAAGUCCACUUCAGGCCAAAGAACAGGGGCAGCAAGAGAGUAAUCUGAAGAUACUCUAAUGCAAACAUGUAAAUCAGGAUAGCAGUGGCACAAAACAGGCAUGAAAAAAGAGGAAACUCAACACAAAAACAUCAAAGUAUAUGUUUUUUUAUCAACGUAACCUAGGAUAUCGAAAGAUCAUUCAAACAGCACCUCCAGAUCUUGUCCCAAUGAUUCUUGCAACUCAAAUUCAUAAGUAGCCCAUGG